CAAAAAAUAUAACCAGCAAAAGGCUAGCAGACGGAACAGAGAAGAAAAAAACCAGUUGUAGUUCCUCGUAAAUCCUUCAGUGUCCUUUUGGAGCUUUGCGUACUUCACCCCAACUAUCCAUCCAUUGAACAUUCACAAUUUGGGAGCUAUCGCUUUGAUCGCCAAAGGCACAUGAUAACAGUGCACCGAAGGAGUAAAGCAGUGCAAGCAUGAACUAAACACAUCGAGGCAACCAUAGGGAAACGCGUGAUCUUACUCGGAGGUGGUUUUCCAACCGACAGAAACUGCCAGUGGUCGGUGCCCUAUGCCGUUUGCGUCCUCCAGUAACAUAUUUCCAGUAUUCCGCUUGUUGCUGCUUGCACUGCUGGUCACAGAGAAGAGGUUGUUUUAGUUUACGCUGCUCCUUCCACCUGCUAGUACCGUCCACACGCAACCACAGGUGCGACCACCAUAAUCUGGUGUGUUUUGCCCGUAAAUCGUGCCCUUGAUACUUGAGCUCUUCUUGCC
This is a long non-coding RNA of Anopheles coustani, 507 nucleotides long. RefSeq lists it as uncharacterized. Lineage: Eukaryota; Metazoa; Arthropoda; Insecta; Diptera; Culicidae. The transcript is spliced from 3 exons. The record is from RefSeq and is a predicted model, not a curated record.